GAUGAACGCUGGCGGCGUGCCUAAUACAUGCAAGUCGAGCGAACAGACGAGGAGCUUGCUCCUUUGACGUUAGCGGCGGACGGGUGAGUAACACGUGGGUAACCUACCUAUAAGACUGGGAUAACUUCGGGAAACCGGAGCUAAUACCGGAUAAUAUUUCGAACCGCAUGGUUCGAUAGUGAAAGAUGGCUUUGCUAUCACUUAUAGAUGGACCUGCGCCGUAUUAGCUAGUUGAUAAGGUAACGGCUUACCAAGGCAACGAUACGUAGCCGACCUGAGAGGGUGAUCGGCCACACUGGAACUGAGACACGGUCCAGACUCCUACGGGAGGCAGCAGUAGGGAAUCUUCCGCAAUGGGCGAAAGCCUGACGGAGCAACGCCGCGUGAGUGAUGAAGGUCUUCGGAUCGUAAAACUCUGUUAUUAGGGAAGAACAAACGUGUAAGUAACUGUGCACGUCUUGACGGUACCUAAUCAGAAAGCCACGGCUAACUACGUG
Molecule: ribosomal RNA, 497 nt
Filed under: uncultured bacterium
Lineage: Bacteria
Description: partial 16S ribosomal RNA
Rfam family: Bacterial small subunit ribosomal RNA
Source: RNAcentral